RNAcentral lists this transfer RNA (79 nucleotides) under Parabacteroides goldsteinii. RNAcentral describes it as "tRNA-His". It matches the Rfam family "tRNA". Rfam says of the family: Transfer RNA (tRNA) molecules are approximately 80 nucleotides in length. Their secondary structure includes four short double-helical elements and three loops (D, anti-codon, and T loops). Further hydrogen bonds mediate the characteristic L-shaped molecular structure. tRNAs have two regions of fundamental functional importance: the anti-codon, which is responsible for specific mRNA codon recognition, and the 3' end, to which the tRNAs corresponding amino acid is attached (by aminoacyl-tRNA synthetases). tRNAs cope with the degeneracy of the genetic code in two manners: having more than one tRNA (with a specific anti-codon) for a particular amino acid; and 'wobble' base-pairing, i.e. permitting non-standard base-pairing at the 3rd anti-codon position. Lineage: Bacteria; Pseudomonadati; Bacteroidota; Bacteroidia; Bacteroidales; Tannerellaceae. RNAcentral also lists the same sequence under 3 other names. The record is from RNAcentral.
GGUGAGCGUAGCUCAGUUGGUUAGAGCAUCGGAUUGUGGUUCCGAGGGUCGUGGGUUCGAGUCCCAUCGUUCACCCCCA